Molecule: ribosomal RNA, 301 nt
Filed under: uncultured bacterium
Lineage: Bacteria
Description: partial 16S ribosomal RNA
Rfam family: Bacterial small subunit ribosomal RNA
Source: RNAcentral
CAGUCGCCGCGGUAAUACGUAGGGUGCGAGCGUUAAUCGGAAUUACUGGGCGUAAAGCGUGCGCAGGCGGUUCGUUAAGACAGAUGUGAAAUCCCCGGGCUUAACCUGGGAACUGCAUUUGUGACUGGCGAGCUAGAGUAUGGCAGAGGGGGGUAGAAUUCCACGUGUAGCAGUGAAAUGCGUAGAGAUGUGGAGGAAUACCGAUGGCGAAGGCAGCCCCCUGGGCCAAUACUGACGCUCAUGCACGAAAGCGUGGGGAGCAAACAGGAUUAGAUACCCCAGUAGUCCCUGUCUCUUAUAC